UACAGAGGGGGCAAGCGUUGUUCGGAAUUACUGGGCGUAAAGGGCGCGUAGGCGGCCUGUUAAGUCGAACGUGAAAUCCCUGGGCUCAACCCAGGAACUGCGUCCGAUACUGGCAGGCUUGAAUUCGGGAGAGGGAUGUGGAAUUCCAGGUGUAGCGGUGAAAUGCGUAGAUAUCUGGAGGAACACCGGUGGCGAAGGCGGCAUCCUGGACCGAUAUUGACGCUGAGGCGCGAAAGCCAGGGGAGCAAACAGG
Molecule: ribosomal RNA, 253 nt
Filed under: uncultured bacterium
Lineage: Bacteria
Description: partial 16S ribosomal RNA
Rfam family: Bacterial small subunit ribosomal RNA
Source: RNAcentral